GGGUUGUGAGGUUAAGCGACUAAGCGUACACGGUGGAUGCCCUGGCAGUCAGAGGCGAUGAAGGACGUGCUAAUCUGCGAUAAGCGUCGGUAAGGUGAUAUGAACCGUUAUAACCGGCGAUUUCCGAAUGGGGAAACCCAGUGUGAUUCGUCACACUAUCAUUAACUGAAUCCAUAGGUUAAUGAGGCGAACCGGGGGAACUGAAACAUCUAAGUACCCCGAGGAAAAGAAAUCAACCGAGAUUCCCCCAGUAGCGGCGAGCGAACGGGGAGCAGCCCAGAGCCUGAAUCAGUGUGUGUGUUAGUGGAAGCGUCUGGAAAGGCGUGCGAUACAGGGUGACAGCCCCGUACACAAAAAUGCACAUACUGUGAGCUCGAUGAGUAGGGCGGGACACGUGGUAUCCUGUCUGAAUAUGGGGGACCAUCCUCCAAGGCUAAAUACUCCUGACUGACCGAUAGUGAACCAGUACCGUGAGGGAAAGGCGAAAAGAACCCCGGCGAGGGGAGUGAAAAAGAACCUGAAACCGUGUACGUACAAGCAGUGGGAGCACGCUUAGGCGUGUGACUGCGUACCUUUUGUAUAAUGGGUCAGCGACUUAUAUUCUGUAGCAAGGUUAACCGAAUAGGGGAGCCGAAGGGAAACCGAGUCUUAACUGGGCGUUAAGUUGCAGGGUAUAGACCCGAAACCCGGUGAUCUAGCCAUGGGCAGGUUGAAGGUUGGGUAACACUAACUGGAGGACCGAACCGACUAAUGUUGAAAAAUUAGCGGAUGACUUGUGGCUGGGGGUGAAAGGCCAAUCAAACCGGGAGAUAGCUGGUUCUCCCCGAAAGCUAUUUAGGUAGCGCCUCGUGAAUUCAUCUCCGGGGGUAGAGCACUGUUUCGGCAAGGGGGUCAUCCCGACUUACCAACCCGAUGCAAACUGCGAAUACCGGAGAAUGUUAUCACGGGAGACACACGGCGGGUGCUAACGUCCGUCGUGAAGAGGGAAACAACCCAGACCGCCAGCUAAGGUCCCAAAGUCAUGGUUAAGUGGGAAACGAUGUGGGAAGGCCCAGACAGCCAGGAUGUUGGCUUAGAAGCAGCCAUCAUUUAAAGAAAGCGUAAUAGCUCACUGGUCGAGUCGGCCUGCGCGGAAGAUGUAACGGGGCUAAACCAUGCACCGAAGCUGCGGCAGCGACGCUUAUGCGUUGUUGGGUAGGGGAGCGUUCUGUAAGCCUGUGAAGGUGUGCUGUGAGGUAUGCUGGAGGUAUCAGAAGUGCGAAUGCUGACAUAAGUAACGAUAAAGCGGGUGAAAAGCCCGCUCGCCGGAAGACCAAGGGUUCCUGUCCAACGUUAAUCGGGGCAGGGUGAGUCGACCCCUAAGGCGAGGCCGAAAGGCGUAGUCGAUGGGAAACAGGUUAAUAUUCCUGUACUUGGUGUUACUGCGAAGGGGGACGGAGAAGGCUAUGUUGGCCGGGCGACGGUUGUCCCGGUUUAAGCGUGUAGGCUGGUUUUCCAGGCAAAUCCGGAAAAUCAAGGCCGAGGCGUGAUGACGAGGCACUACGGUGCUGAAGCAACAAAUGCCCUGCUUCCAGGAAAAGCCUCUAAGCAUCAGGUAACAUCAAAUCGUACCCCAAACCGACACAGGUGGUCAGGUAGAGAAUACCAAGGCGCUUGAGAGAACUCGGGUGAAGGAACUAGGCAAAAUGGUGCCGUAACUUCGGGAGAAGGCACGCUGAUACGUAGGUGAAGCGACUUGCUCGUGGAGCUGAAAUCAGUCGAAGAUACCAGCUGGCUGCAACUGUUUAUUAAAAACACAGCACUGUGCAAACACGAAAGUGGACGUAUACGGUGUGACGCCUGCCCGGUGCCGGAAGGUUAAUUGAUGGGGUUAGCGCAAGCGAAGCUCUUGAUCGAAGCCCCGGUAAACGGCGGCCGUAACUAUAACGGUCCUAAGGUAGCGAAAUUCCUUGUCGGGUAAGUUCCGACCUGCACGAAUGGCGUAAUGAUGGCCAGGCUGUCUCCACCCGAGACUCAGUGAAAUUGAACUCGCUGUGAAGAUGCAGUGUACCCGCGGCAAGACGGAAAGACCCCGUGAACCUUUACUAUAGCUUGACACUGAACAUUGAGCCUUGAUGUGUAGGAUAGGUGGGAGGCUUUGAAGUGUGGACGCCAGUCUGCAUGGAGCCGACCUUGAAAUACCACCCUUUAAUGUUUGAUGUUCUAACGUGGACCCGUGAUCCGGGUUGCGGACAGUGUCUGGUGGGUAGUUUGACUGGGGCGGUCUCCUCCUAAAGAGUAACGGAGGAGCACGAAGGUUGGCUAAUCCUGGUCGGACAUCAGGAGGUUAGUGCAAUGGCAUAAGCCAGCUUGACUGCGAGCGUGACGGCGCGAGCAGGUGCGAAAGCAGGUCAUAGUGAUCCGGUGGUUCUGAAUGGAAGGGCCAUCGCUCAACGGAUAAAAGGUACUCCGGGGAUAACAGGCUGAUACCGCCCAAGAGUUCAUAUCGACGGCGGUGUUUGGCACCUCGAUGUCGGCUCAUCACAUCCUGGGGCUGAAGUAGGUCCCAAGGGUAUGGCUGUUCGCCAUUUAAAGUGGUACGCGAGCUGGGUUUAGAACGUCGUGAGACAGUUCGGUCCCUAUCUGCCGUGGGCGCUGGAGAACUGAGGGGGGCUGCUCCUAGUACGAGAGGACCGGAGUGGACGCAUCACUGGUGUUCGGGUUGUCAUGCCAAUGGCACUGCCCGGUAGCUAAAUGCGGAAGAGAUAAGUGCUGAAAGCAUCUAAGCACGAAACUUGCCCCGAGAUGAGUUCUCCCUGACCCUUUAAGGGUCCUGAAGGAACGUUGAAGACGACGACGUUGAUAGGCCGGGUGUGUAAGCGCAGCGAUGCGUUGAGCUAACCGGUACUAAUGAACCGUGAGGCUUAACCUUACAACGCCGAAG
Molecule: ribosomal RNA, 2923 nt
Filed under: Shigella flexneri
Lineage: Bacteria; Pseudomonadati; Pseudomonadota; Gammaproteobacteria; Enterobacterales; Enterobacteriaceae
Description: 23S ribosomal RNA
Rfam family: Bacterial large subunit ribosomal RNA
Source: RNAcentral